This is a non-coding RNA of Glossina morsitans morsitans, 455 nucleotides long. The record is from Rfam. Lineage: Eukaryota; Metazoa; Arthropoda; Insecta; Diptera; Glossinidae.
UGACUAUUUACCUCACAUUACACAAGCAUAACUGAUCAGGCCUGAACCUGAUGGUGGACGAUGGUGCAUGGCAGUUCUUCAUUCGUAGAAUGAUUUUUCUGAUUAAUUUCGAUAACGAACGAGACUCAAAUAUGUUCAGAAUUAUCGCAUUGAAGCUUUUAUUAUGGCCUUCUUACUAGCAUAGUAACAUGUGUGAGUGUUUGAAUGUGUUUAUGAAAGUGGAACCAUAUCUGUCGGCUUGCUCUUUUAUAGGACUCUAGUUCCUUAAAUAGAGAAAUUGCCUCUUGCGCGAUUAUGCAAUAACAGGUCUGCAAUGCUUCUAGAUGCUCUGGGCUGCUCGCACGCUACAACGAAGCUAUCAAUGGGUAUUUCAUAUACCUAUACGUCGGUCCGAGCAAACCGCUGAACCACUUUUAUGCUUAGGAUUGUGAACUAAAAUUGUUCACAUGAACAUG